This 947-nucleotide non-coding RNA is filed under the name Coryphaena hippurus (common dolphinfish). RNAcentral's name for it is "12S ribosomal RNA". It matches the Rfam family "Bacterial small subunit ribosomal RNA". The record is from RNAcentral. Lineage: Eukaryota; Metazoa; Chordata; Actinopteri; Carangiformes; Coryphaenidae.
CAAAGGUUUGGUCCUGGCUUUACUGUCAGCUUUAGUUAAACUUUACACAUGCAAGUAUCCGCCCCCCGGUGAGGAUGCCCUUACUCUUCUUGCACUGAAGAUAAGGAGCUGGUAUCAGGCACACAAGCUCAGCCCACAACACCUUGCUAAGCCACACCCCCAAGGGAACCCAGCAGUGAUAAAUUUUAAGCCAUAAGUGAAAACUUGACUUAGUUAAGGCUAAUUAGGGUUGGUAAAUUUCGUGCCAGCCACCGCGGUUAGACGAAUGACCCAAGUUGACAGAAUACGGCGUAAAGGGUGGUUAGGGAAUAUUAAUACUAAAGCCGAACACCUUCCAAGCUGUUAUACGCUUAUGAAGAACUGAAGCACAACUACGAAAGUGGCUUUAAAACACCUGAACCCACGAAAGCUAAGAAACAAACUGGGAUUAGAUACCCCACUAUGCUUAGCCCUAAACAUUGACUGUUUAUUACAUAAACAUCCGCCUGGGAACUACGAACAUUAGUUUAAAACCCAAAGGACUUGGCGGUGCUUAAUAUCCACCUAGAGGAGCCUGUCCUAUAACCGAUAAUCCCCGUUAAACCUCACCUUCUCUCGCAAUAUCAGCCUAUAUACCGCCGUCGCCAGCUUACCCUUUGAAGGACUAACAGUAAGCACAAUUGGUACAACCCAAUACGUCAGGUCGAGGUGUAGCCUAUGAGAAGGGAAGAGAUGGGCUACAUUCACUAACAUAGUGAAUACGAAUAGUAUAUUGAAACAUAUACUUGAAGGAGGAUUUAGCAGUAAGCAGGAAAUAGAGUGUUCUGCUGAAGCCGGCUCUUAAGCGCGUACAUACCGCCCGUCACCCUCGCCAAGCCCUACCAAUUAUUUUUUCUAAAUCACUUAUAAAGCUAAGGAGAGGAAAGUCGUAACAUGGUAAGCGUACCGGAAGGUGUGCUUGGAUAAUC